This 1339-nucleotide ribosomal RNA is filed under the name Staphylococcus argenteus. RNAcentral describes it as "bacterial SSU rRNA". The record is from RNAcentral. Lineage: Bacteria; Bacillati; Bacillota; Bacilli; Caryophanales; Staphylococcaceae.
UAUGGAGAGUUUGAUCCUGGCUCAGGAUGAACGCUGGCGGCGUGCCUAAUACAUGCAAGUCGAGCGAACGGAYGAGAAGCUUGYUUCUCUGAUGUUAGCGGCGGACGGGUGAGUAACACGUGGAUAACCUACCUAUAAGACUGGGAUAACUUCGGGAAACCGGAGCUAAUACCGGAUAAUAUUUUGAACCGCAUGGUUCAAAAGUGAAAGACGGUCUUGCUGUCACUUAUAGAUGGAUCCGCGCUGCAUUAGCUAGUUGGUAAGGUAACGGCUUACCAAGGCAACGAUGCAUAGCCGACCUGAGAGGGUGAUCGGCCACACUGGAACUGAGACACGGUCCAGACUCCUACGGGAGGCAGCAGUAGGGAAUCUUCCGCAAUGGGCGAAAGCCUGACGGAGCAACGCCGCGUGAGUGAUGAAGGUCUUCGGAUCGUAAAACUCUGUUAUUAGGGAAGAACAUAUGUGUAAGUAACUGUGCACAUCUUGACGGUACCUAAUCAGAAAGCCACGGCUAACUACGUGCCAGCAGCCGCGGUAAUACGUAGGUGGCAAGCGUUAUCCGGAAUUAUUGGGCGUAAAGCGCGCGUAGGCGGUUUUUUAAGUCUGAUGUGAAAGCCCACGGCUCAACCGUGGAGGGUCAUUGGAAACUGGAAAACUUGAGUGCAGAAGAGGAAAGUGGAAUUCCAUGUGUAGCGGUGAAAUGCGCAGAGAUAUGGAGGAACACCAGUGGCGAAGGCGACUUUCUGGUCUGUAACUGACGCUGAUGUGCGAAAGCGUGGGGAUCAAACAGGAUUAGAUACCCUGGUAGUCCACGCCGUAAACGAUGAGUGCUAAGUGUUAGGGGGUUUCCGCCCCUUAGUGCUGCAGCUAACGCAUUAAGCACUCCGCCUGGGGAGUACGACCGCAAGGUUGAAACUCAAAGGAAUUGACGGGGACCCGCACAAGCGGUGGAGCAUGUGGUUUAAUUCGAAGCAACGCGAAGAACCUUACCAAAUCUUGACAUCCUUUGACAACUCUAGAGAUAGAGCCUUCCCCUUCGGGGGACAAAGUGACAGGUGGUGCAUGGUUGUCGUCAGCUCGUGUCGUGAGAUGUUGGGUUAAGUCCCGCAACGAGCGCAACCCUUAAGCUUAGUUGCCAUCAUUAAGUUGGGCACUCUAAGUUGACUGCCGGUGACAAACCGGAGGAAGGUGGGGAUGACGUCAAAUCAUCAUGCCCCUUAUGAUUUGGGCUACACACGUGCUACAAUGGACAAUACAAAGGGCAGCGAAACCGCGAGGUCAAGCAAAUCCCAUAAAGUUGUUCUCAGUUCGGAUUGUAGUCUGCAACUCGACUACAUGA